AUUGAUCGCUGGCGGCAUGCCUUACACAUGCAAGUCGAACGGUAACGGGCCUUCGGGUGCCGACGAUUGGCGAACGGGUGAGUAAUACAUCGGAACGUGCCCGAUCGUGGGGGAUAACGAGGCGUAAGCUUUGCUAAUCCCGCAUACGAUCUACGGUUGAAAGCAGGGGACCGCAAUGCCUUGCUCGGGCGGAUCGGCCGAUGGGAGAUUAGGUUGUUCGUGGGAUAAAAGCUUACCAAGCCGACGAUCUGUAGCUGUUCUGAGCGGAGGAUCAGCCACACUGGGAGUGAGACAGGGACAAGAGUCCUACGGGAGGCAGCAGUGGGGAAUGUUGGACAAUGGGGGCAAACCUGGUACAGCGAUGCCGAGUGCAAGAUGAAGACGUUCGGGUUGUAAACUGCUUUUGUACGGAACGAAAAGCCUUCUUUUAAUACAGGGGGGUCAUGACGGUACCGUAAGAAUAAGCACCGGCUAACUACGUG
This 482-nucleotide ribosomal RNA is filed under the name uncultured bacterium. RNAcentral describes it as "partial 16S ribosomal RNA". It matches the Rfam family "Bacterial small subunit ribosomal RNA", at positions 30 to 507 of the family's 1533-position model. The record is from RNAcentral.